RNAcentral lists this ribosomal RNA (504 nucleotides) under uncultured bacterium. RNAcentral describes it as "partial 16S ribosomal RNA". It matches the Rfam family "Bacterial small subunit ribosomal RNA", at positions 29 to 523 of the family's 1533-position model. The record is from RNAcentral.
AUUGAACGCUGGCGGCAGGCCUAACACAUGCAAGUCGAACGGUAGCACAGAGAGCUUGCUCUCGGGUGACGAGUGGCGGACGGGUGAGUAACGUCUGGGAAACUGCCCGAUGGAGGGGGAUAACUACUGGAAACGGUAGCUAAUACCGCAUAACGUCGCAAGACCAAAGUGGGGGACCUUCGGGCCUCACACCAUCGGAUGUGCCCAGAUGGGAUUAGCUAGCAGGUGGGGUAAUGGCUCACCUAGGCGACGAUCCCUAGCUGGUCUGAGAGGAUGACCAGCCACACGGGAACUGAGACACGGUCCAGACUCCUACGGGAGGCAGCAGUGGGGAAUAUUGCACAAUGGGCGCAAGCCUGAUGCAGCCAUGCCGCGUGUAUGAAGAAGGCCUUCGGGUUGUAAAGUACUUUCAGCGGGGAGGAAGGCGGUGAAGUUAAUAGCUUCACCGAUUGACGUUACCCGCAGAAGAAGCACCGGCUAACUCCGUGCCAGCCGCCGCGGUAA